GGAUUAGAUACCCUGGUAGUCCACGCCGUAAACGAUGAUCACUAGAUGUUCGAUCCCGUUGGGGGUUGAGUGUCGGAGCUAACGCGUUAAGUGAUCCGCCUGGGGAGUACGGUCGCAAGACUAAAACUCAAAGAAAUUGACGGGGGUCCGCACAAGCGGUGGAACAUGUGGUUUAAUUCGACACUACGCGAGGAACCUUACCUGGGUUUGACAUAUACUCGCCAGUGAUAGAGAUAUCAUGUUCUGAGUUUACUCAGACGAGUAUACAGGUGCUGCAUGGCUGUCGUCAGCUCGUGUUG
This 299-nucleotide ribosomal RNA is filed under the name uncultured bacterium. Its description in RNAcentral is "partial 16S ribosomal RNA". It matches the Rfam family "Bacterial small subunit ribosomal RNA", at positions 775 to 1067 of the family's 1533-position model. The record is from RNAcentral.